AGGACCAGGAAGGGAUGGAGAUGUCUGUCAUACACCAGCGGGAUGACAAGAGUUGCGUGGAAACUGACGAGGUGAGACGCUGACAGAUGUUCUGUUUGACAGAGGAGGAGCCAGGUCCAUCAAGCGACCCAUAAAUGCUGGCAGACUUUGAUGGUUUACACAACAAAGUGUUGAGAAAUUCUACUGAGCUUUAAUCUGUAACUGAACUGUUUAUCAGGGACGCAGCUGCAGCUUCUUUGCUUUUCUGAUUCAUACUGACCUUUUUAAUAUUAUAGUUUUAUAUUUUCUGUGUUCAGCCUUCAGAGUUCUGUUGAAGUUAAUCUGAUGCUGUAAAUAAAUGUUGACAUUAGGAGGAUGGUGGGGAGGCCAAGAAUGAGUUCUCCUGAUGCUCCUUAAACUAAACUACCCUGAAAGGACCAGGUCUGAAGGACGGAGAGAUUCAGAGACUGAAAAGAUGGAACUCUGCUCUGAGCACUGAGGAGAGCUUCCUGUUGCAGAAACUCCUGUCUGUGAAACCAGCUGUUUAAUGUUGACCUGAAGAAAAAAAGAGAACUUCACCUUCCUGUUUGCUCUGUUGUGUUUGACUUUGUAUCAACCUGUUAAUCAG
Molecule: long non-coding RNA, 607 nt
Organism: Micropterus dolomieu (smallmouth bass)
Lineage: Eukaryota; Metazoa; Chordata; Actinopteri; Centrarchiformes; Centrarchidae
Exons: 3
Source: RefSeq, a predicted model, not a curated record